GACGAACGCUGGCGGCGUGCUUAACACAUGCAAGUCGAGCGGUAAGGCCCUUUCGGGGGUACGACGAGCGGCGAACGGGUGAGUAACACGUGGGUGACCUGCCCUCAGCUCUGGGAUAAGACCUGGGAAACCGGGUCUAAUACUGGAUAUGACUCCAUGACGCAUGUUGUGGAGUGGAAAGCCUUGUGCGGCUGAGGAUGGGCCCGCGGCCUAUCAGCUUGUUGGUGGGGNGAUGGCCUACCAAGGCGACGACGGGUAGCCGGCCUGAGAGGGCGGACCGGCCACACUGGGACUGAGACACGGCCCAGACUCCUACGGGAGGCAGCAGUGGGGAAUCUUGCGCAAUGGGCGAAAAGCCUGACGCAGCGACGCCGCGUGA
RNAcentral lists this ribosomal RNA (379 nucleotides) under uncultured bacterium. RNAcentral describes it as "bacterial SSU rRNA". It matches the Rfam family "Bacterial small subunit ribosomal RNA", at positions 28 to 404 of the family's 1533-position model. The record is from RNAcentral.